Molecule: non-coding RNA, 670 nt
Organism: Arachis ipaensis
Lineage: Eukaryota; Viridiplantae; Streptophyta; Magnoliopsida; Fabales; Fabaceae
Source: RefSeq, a predicted model, not a curated record
GAUUUUUUUAGUAUUUUUAAAUGAGAAGUACUAAGAGGCUAGCAACUUUUGUGAUUUGUAGCUAUCAAGUAACUAUCAAUAAUAUUUUUAAUGGUGAAAAAUUUUAUCCAGUAGUGUACGAUUACUCACUUUUCUUUUGCUGGUUACAUACUAGCCAUAAUUUAAUAAAGUUGCUAGUCCCUAGACUUUUCCUUUUUAAAAAAUAAAAACACAAAAAACUAAAAUUUUUAGACACGGACUGAAAUUUUAUCAACAUUUUUUUAUACUUAAAUAUUUUAGUAAAUAUUCUUAUUUUCAUAUUCAUAUUUAUUUUGAACCCAAUAACAUUCUUAGUCAUAUACCUUUUAUACCAAACAUAAUACAAAGACUUAAUUUAAUUUCAGCUUUUAUCUUCCAUUCCAUGUUUCUCAAUCUCAGCCUUUCCACCAAAAGCAUCCUAAAUGUCAAUGACCUUACUACAACCAAUGCUUGGGAUAAGAUUAGCACGUCAGUCAAGUUAGAUAUCAAAUAUAUAUAUAUAUAUAGAUAUAGAGAGAGAGGGGUGAGUUUGUGCAUGAAAGGAGUUAGAAAGUAAGAGAAGUCCUCGUUGUAACAAUCCAUUUUUUUUAUAGACUCUAUCUCGAGCUCUGCUCUGCUUCAUCUGUUUUUCCUUCAAUGGCAAGGAACAUUG